This 297-nucleotide ribosomal RNA is filed under the name uncultured microorganism. RNAcentral's name for it is "partial 16S ribosomal RNA". It matches the Rfam family "Archaeal small subunit ribosomal RNA", at positions 330 to 627 of the family's 1478-position model. The record is from RNAcentral.
GCGCAGCAGGCGAGAAUACUUCACACUGUGCGAAAGCACGAUGAGGGAAUCCCAAGUGCUUGCACGUAAGUGUAAGCUGUUUCUCUGUCUAAAACGCAGAGAGAGUAAGGGCUGGGUAAGACGGGUGCCAGCCGCCGCGGUAAUACCUGCAGCUCAAGUGGUGACCGUUAUUAUUGGGCCUAAAACGUCCGUAGCCGGGUUUAAUAAAUGCCUGGGUAAAUUGUGUAGCUUAACUAUACGAAUUCCGGGUAGACUGUUAAACUUGAGACCGGGAGAAGUUAGAGGUACUCCUGGGUA